AUAACACGCAGUGCCUGCUCAGCACAUUUCAUCACCAUCCAUUCCGUUUGCUGCUGCCUCCUGAGGCAGUUCAGCCGUCUGGGAGAUCUUUCUGCUUUUUCUGCAACUUCUCCUGGUUUCCCUCUGCUUUGGGACGCACCGAGCCCUUUAGGGGCUGCCUUCCGAGCUCGGGGCUGUGCAGCCCGCGCCCAGCUUCGCGCUGAUGGCCGCUCGCGCGCGUGCCUGCGUGGAGCAGAGCACCUGGCGGCCCGCGGUGCACGCGGCGCCCGCCCUCAGCGCUUGUCCCGCCCUGCCCGCCCCCAGCGAGCGCCCUCAUGGGCGGCCGGUCCGAGGCAGCCCCCGCCGGGGCGCUGCCGGGUUCCGUAUCUCCCCGUCUGUGCGUGUUUUCGGUCAAACCUGAGCAGAGAGGUUCCGCACCCCGGCCGCUGGCACGGGCUGAGUAGCGGAGUGCUCUCGCAGGUGCUGCUCGUUUCUCCAAGGCAGAGCGGCUGGAGCCUUCUGGAAGGUGAAGGCAGCGAAUUUCUGUAUGAAUAGUCACCAGUCUUGAAGAGAAAAGAAGAGAAGGCUGGUGAUCUGGGCUUCCAUGCUGCAGGAUGCUUUGCUUUUGGCUCCAAGCCCAGCAUCUCAGCAUACUCUUCUUCAUGGAGUUGAAUUUUCCUGUCUCUGCCUGUUUUUCUAUUUGCCUUCUGCUUUUUAAUCCAAGCAAGAUUUUAUUUGGAUGAUAAGCAUGGGCAGGCCAGCCCUCUGCUUGCAUGGUGAGAAAUGUCAUUUUCUUCCAACUCUGCUUAGCUUUCCCUCUGUGGAGCUGAGAUUAAGUUAGUUCCGAUACUGUCACACUGCAGCAUGGACCAAAGUAGGGAGCUUAGGAAGGCAGAAAAAAAUUAGUAAUAAUCUAACCAGAAAAGUGUUUCCUUUUUUUUAGAAGAUUUUAUUCAGAUAAAAUAAUAUUUACUUUUUUAAAGAAAUCUAAAUCUGGAGUCUAAAGAAUUCAUCAAAUAAUUAUUUUUCCUGUUAUUUUUCAUCAGUCAGAGAGCUUUUAGAAGACCUGCAUCUAUUUGCAUUCUCCAGAAUUAUCCUAUUGUGUGUACUGGAGAACUCCUGUGAGUGUCUGAGAAGACCUAAGGACACAGAACAGGCAUGACAUCGGGCUGGCUCUGCUCACAAGCCUCACUCACAGGAGAUGUGGUCUCACCAGGUUCGCUGGAGGCAGCUUUCAGCAUAAGUUGGAGGGAUAUAGGCUUGCUUGGAUCCACACUGAUGGGCUGCAGUUUUUGAAAAAUGUAAAUACAGAUUAUGCUCUUGUAAGAUUCAAAGAGAUCAGCUGUUUUAAAAGCAACUGUUGAGAAAAGUAAUUUUUAAAAAAAGUUAGCUGGCUUGGCAUACUGUCUCACCUCGAGGUGCAUUUAGGCCUAAAUGCAUUUACUCUUCAAGUAUCUUCCAACACACCCAUUAGUUUUCCAGAAAACUAAAAUUUCUAACUCUUUGCAGAAGUCAGUUUUCCCUUCGCAAAGCCUCAAACUGUGCACAGGUCUCCUUUACCAGCAUUGGGUGAAGCAACUGUUCCCACGUGCCACGUUAUCGCUCUCUGACAGUUGACAGCAGAGCUUUUUAUGUUUGUUCUCCUUAAUCUAUUUGAGUACAGAGAUCUGGUUUAGUGAAGGUGAGCACUUUUUAAACCAUUUAAAAUAACCUAUGUGUUACAGAUUAAAAGAGGUUAUGGAACACAGACUAGCAGUUCUCUGGCAAAUAUGAGGGACUGUUACACUCUGAUCUGGAGUGGCAAGGCAAGUGCAUGUCCCACAGGAAAAGCUGCUUGCAUGGCUGCUCAUCUGUUAACACCUCCGCUGGCAAUUAUCCAGUAGUUGCUGGGGAAAUAAAUUGUAUUUAAAAAAAACA
Long non-coding RNA from Numida meleagris (helmeted guineafowl), 1896 nucleotides. The record is from Ensembl. Lineage: Eukaryota; Metazoa; Chordata; Aves; Galliformes; Numididae.